Molecule: ribosomal RNA, 405 nt
Filed under: uncultured bacterium
Lineage: Bacteria
Description: partial 16S ribosomal RNA
Rfam family: Bacterial small subunit ribosomal RNA
Source: RNAcentral
GAUGAACGCUGGCGGCGUGCCUAAUACAUGCAAGUCGAGCGAAGCGGGGACGGGUGAGUAACACGUGGAUAACCUCCUAUAAGACUGGGGUAACUUCGGGAAACCGGAGCUAAACCGGAUGCUGAUAGAUGGAGCCGCGCUGCAGUAGCUAGUUGGUAAGGUAACGGCUUACCAAGGCAACGAUGCAUAGCCGACCUGAGGGGUGGACCGGCCACACUGGAACUGAGACACGGUCCAGACUCCUACGGGAGGCAGCAGUGGGGAAUCUUCCGCAAUGGGCGCAAGCCUGACGGAGUAACGCCGCGUGAGUGAUGAAGGUCUUCGGAUCGUAAAACUCUGUUAUUAGGGAAGCGGUACCUAAUCAGAAAGCCACGGCUAACUACGUGCCAGCAGCCGCGGUAAUAC